AAGAGUAAUUUCUGGUGCUUAGGUAAUAAAGUGUAGAAAUCACAGAAAGAAUCUCCUUUGUUGUUUAGGCAUGGAUUGCCCUUUUGUAGGAAGAAUGCAGGCCACUGAUCAUUUGCAAAGGCAACAUUUUCCCACUGUUUUGCUGGUAGUAGUGCAUGGAGAUCCCACAUCCCUACUUAAUCUCCUUUGUGAUGAGCCGGUGUGAAUAAAAAAUAAACAGUGUUUUGGUUGAUUAUAGAAUGAAUUACCAGUGCGUGGAGAUCCCACAUCCCUACUUAAUCUUCCUUGUGAUGAGCCGGUGUGAAUAAAAAAUAAAUAGUGUUUUGGUAGAUUAUAGAAUGUGUUAUUUGAUUAAUCAGUGCUUCAUUUGGUUUAGUUGAGAUUGUAACGAUUUUGUUUCAACUUCUGCUCAUUUUUUGCUUUGACGCAUCUUCUAAACCUGCAUGUUUUGUUAGUAUAGAGUUUUGUGGAACUCUUUCGCUUACAGUUAUCCGAUUGACUUCAGUGAACGGUUCCAUACCAUGAAACGUUGCUGGAAUUUCUACCAAGGAUGUGCAUGCUUCUGAGCUCAACUGAACUUUCCAAUGGAAACACUGGUUGUAGAUACCACGGCAAACUCAAAUGGUCUUAGCACUACAUACCUCACAUGAGAUCCUACAAUUUGGAUGAAUGGGUAGUAACCAGGGAAGUGGUUGGGGUUUCUCCCUUCAGGUUGGGUGGUUAUAUAUACAUAUAUAUGACCCAUUACACAUGUUCUUUAUUUAUAUGACCAAUUUCACAGGAGAUCUAUAUGUUAAGACGUAGGAGAUCAGUGCUAUAAAACAAAUUAUUUUCUUCUAUUCAAAUUGUAAGUGGUUAUUUUAUACCAUUUCCUCUGUCCCCGUUCCUGUGCCAAUGGGAAAUGUUAUACUAGAAUACCCUGGACAUAUUCUCUUAACCUGUUACUCCUACGCCACGGUUGUAGCAGACGCUGAAUUAAAAUAAGCCAUAUCGGCCAGGGAACUUGAUUUUGGAUUUAUUUUUAGAUUCUUUUUCUCCUAAUGAGAAUCUGUAUUUUAACUGUCGUUAGAAGAUAUAUUCUUACUUCCAAAACUACUACUGUAUCAUAAGUAACAGUUUUGGGUACCAAGUGGCUUAUGUCGGGAUAAAUUAUUCUGGGAUUAUUUUUUAUCCACUAUUUAAUAUGUUGUAUUAAAAGUGAUAAUUGCAUAAUUUGUAAGAAGAAGAUAUAAGUUAUUCUGGUGUUAGUUACUUUUUCUCUAUAAAGUAUAAGUUAUUCCAGUAUUAA
RNAcentral lists this long non-coding RNA (1288 nucleotides) under Nicotiana benthamiana. Its description in RNAcentral is "long non-coding RNA (NBEN_LNC021867)". Lineage: Eukaryota; Viridiplantae; Streptophyta; Magnoliopsida; Solanales; Solanaceae. The record is from RNAcentral.